GAAUUUUUGCCGAAUCCGAAUUAACUAACUAUGGUACCGGUACACUUUUCCGUGUACCGAUACACAAUGCAGUUCGCAGACUGCAUGUUUCUGAUGGGUGUUUUUGCAAUUGUAGCUUAUCUAUAAACACCCCCACAGCCCUUGAAGGCUCUUUUGAGCCCUAGAACGUGGAGGAUCUGAGCUUUGAAGUUUUUGUUGGAGCUCAUUUGGAGGGAAAAUUUCAACCCUAGCUCACUUGCGAACUUGAUUUGGAGCUCUAGAGAGGUUGGAUUUGAGAGCCUCUACCUCCCAUUUGGAGAUCGAGAGAGGUUUUCUUCACAUUAGGUGCUAGGAGAGUAGCGGACACCUUCGUCGGCUCGAACGAAGGGCGGCUAAGAGUUUCGGUUGUUUUGGCUUCAUUGGAAUGGGAGAAUUCUUCUCUUAUGUCGUUAAUAAUUGUCGUAUCAUUGAAAUACAUGCAUAUUCAUGCUAGAUAUAAUUUUUAUGAAUUUUAGAAUACUUAAAAUGCAUGUGCAAUAUUUCAUGAAAAAUCGACUCUAUGUAGUAGAGGGCUAUGUGUAUUACUCAUGCAUAUAAAUAGUAUUCUUUCUUAUAAGUUGAAAAUAUAUCUCAUGUGAUGAAAAUGACUAGAAUUAUGUACUAUUGGACACAAAACUCAUGUUUGGACAUAGUGGACAAAAGUGCCAUAAAGGAGCACUCAACCUAGUAAACGGUUAAACUGCAACAUGAUAACUUAGUAAUAGGCCAUUGAGACAUCGACUAUAUUUCAUAUUUUAGACAUGAUGACAUUGGACUUGAGACGAACUUUUACGCUUGCUUGCCAUUGUGCUCAUUCGCAUAUGCUUGUGAGGGUCGCUUCCCACAAGCCGGCACUCCGGAGAUAGUCAUUGCAACACAUGCUCGCCCGUACGGGAUUGGGCGCCGAAAUGGGAUGCCGUGGGGGAGGUUCAUUCCUAAAGUGGGGAUGUUGACUACCACGGGACCAUUAGACACGGCGCGAGCCGGACUACCCACGAGUAGGUCCUAUGUGACUUGGAACAAGUGGAACCAAAAUGUAAAUGGACAACUAGACAAUCUAGUAAACAAUGACAUUUUACUAUUUACAUUGUGGACAUUAUGUUGAUUAUACUCAUACAUAUUCAUGUUAGAAUAGCAUUCAUACUUAUACAAAAUCAUGCUAAGUGGUGAUAUAAUGAUUUAGCAAGUUAUUCAUGUUUAAAUAUUUAUUGUUCAUUUCGCUUAUAUACUUGCACUUACUUCCUUUAGCUUUUGGGCCUAGUGGUGCAUUUCACUGAAAUCAGUAAUUGCCCACUGUGAACUAUUAUUUAAUAGUUCUCACGCCCCAAUUUUGUGGUUUUCUUUCAGAGCCUUCUAGACCGGUGGAGUCACGGGAUCGCGGCAAGGGGAUCGCUAGCUAGACAGCGAGGAGGUUAUUUUUUGCUUUAGGUGGUUCUCCAUCUUUUGUGUUUUGUUAGGGAGGGUGAGAGAGCUUGUAUCCAUAUAUAGAGACCACCAUGUUCUUAUGUUUAGCACUUGUAUUUGGAUCCCUUUUGUACUACUUCAUGGUUUACUCUUAGUAGAUUUUAGCGCUUUUAUA
Molecule: long non-coding RNA, 1597 nt
Organism: Ananas comosus (pineapple)
Lineage: Eukaryota; Viridiplantae; Streptophyta; Magnoliopsida; Poales; Bromeliaceae
Exons: 4
Source: RefSeq, a predicted model, not a curated record